UCAACAAAUUCUUAUCAUCAUUUGUUUUUUCAUGUUUUGAAGACUUUCAGUUUCACAUUUGUGCAUUUUCCCGGAGAAUGCUUAUAUUCUUACAUCAUCGUACAAUGACAUUAUUUACACAGUCUGACCUUGGGUAACUCAAUUUAUAAAGGCAAACGAGGUGGGAGUAAGAUUGGAACAGCAAACAAUCCAUGACGUAAACUAUCAGCUUACAUAUCAAUAUAUAUUCAUAUUUUACCAUGGGUGUGUACUAAAAGUGUUUGAAAAACAUCAUAUUAGAUUUUAAAUUAUACAAGAGAUCAACAUAAGUUCUUCUGUAAUAGUCAACAUAAGGUCUUCUGUAAUAGUCCAAGAGAUCAACAUAAGGUCUUCUGUUAUAGUCCAAGAGAUCAACAUAAGGUCUUCUGUAAUAGUCAACAUAAGGUCUUCUGUAAUAGUCAACAUAAGGUCUUCUGUAAUAGUCAACAUAAGGUCUUCUGUAAUAGUCAACAUAAGGUCUUCUGUAAUAGUCAACAUAUGGUCUUCUGUAAUAGUCAACAUAAGGUCUUCUGUAAUAGUCAACAUAAGGUCUUCUGUAAUAGUCAACAUAAGGUCUUCUGUAAUAGUCAACAUAAGGUCUUCUGUAAUAGUCAACAUAAGGUCUUCUGUAAUAGUCAACAUAAGGUCUUCUGUAAUAGUCAAC
Mytilus californianus (California mussel) is the source of this 682-nucleotide long non-coding RNA. RefSeq lists it as uncharacterized. The record is from RefSeq and is a predicted model, not a curated record. The transcript is spliced from 5 exons. Lineage: Eukaryota; Metazoa; Mollusca; Bivalvia; Mytilida; Mytilidae.